UACGGGGGGAGCAAGCGUUGUUCGGAUUUACUGGGCGUAAAGGGCGCGUAGGCGGUCAGCACAAGUCAGUUGUGAAAUCUCCGGGCUUAACUCGGAAAGGUCAACUGAUACUGUGCGACUAGAGUGCGGAAGGGGCAACUGGAAUUCUCGGUGUAGCGGUGAAAUGCGCAGAUAUCAGGAGGAACACCAGUGGCGAAGGCGGUGCUCUGGGCCGGAACUGACGCUGAGGAGCGAAAGCGUGGGGAGCAAACAGG
RNAcentral lists this ribosomal RNA (254 nucleotides) under uncultured bacterium. RNAcentral describes it as "partial 16S ribosomal RNA". It matches the Rfam family "Bacterial small subunit ribosomal RNA", at positions 524 to 776 of the family's 1533-position model. The record is from RNAcentral.